RNAcentral lists this ribosomal RNA (404 nucleotides) under uncultured bacterium. Its description in RNAcentral is "bacterial SSU rRNA". It matches the Rfam family "Bacterial small subunit ribosomal RNA", at positions 362 to 758 of the family's 1533-position model. The record is from RNAcentral.
UUUUGGACAAUGGGCGCAAGCCUGAUCCAGCAAUGCCGCGUGGGUGAAGAAGGCCUUCGGGUUGUAAAGCUCUUUUGUCAGGGAAGAAACGGUGAGCUCUAAUACAGUUUGCUAAUGACGGUACCUGAAGAAUAAGCACCGGCUAACUACGUGCCAGCAGCCGCGGUAAUACGUAGGGUGCAAGCGUUAAUCGGAAUUACUGGGCGUAAAGCGUGCGCAGGCGGUUAUGUAAGUCAGAUGUGAAAUCCCCGGGCUCAACCUGGGAAUGGCAUUUGAGACUGCAUGGCUAGAGUGUGUCAGAGGGGGGUAGAAUUUCACGUGUAGCAGUGAAAUGCGUAGAGAUGUGGAGGAAUACCGAUGGCGAAGGCAGCCCCCUGGGAUAACACUGACGCUCAUGCACGAAA